Molecule: long non-coding RNA, 212 nt
Organism: Quercus robur (English oak)
Lineage: Eukaryota; Viridiplantae; Streptophyta; Magnoliopsida; Fagales; Fagaceae
Exons: 2
Source: RefSeq, a predicted model, not a curated record
CUUCUUCUUUUUCUUUUUCUUGAUUUUCAUGAACUAUUGUUUUAGCGAAGAAGCCAGAGUGCACCAAUAGACGCAUAAGCCUGUGCAAGCAGCUAUUUUUUCAGGGUGAAUGUUAAGCUUAGAGACCAACUCUUGGAGAGUAAUGGGUUGGCCAUGGUUGUGGAUUGUGUCAGGAAUGCCUAGCUGAAUUGCACAUUUAAGUGACAUGGAAU